CAAUAGCGUAUAUUAAAGUUGUUGCGGUUAAAAAGUUCGUAGUUGGAUUUCUGCCAAGGACGACCGGUCCGCCCUCUGGGUGAGUAUCUGGCUUGGCCUGGGCAUCUUCUUGGAGAACGUCGCUGCACUUCACUGUGUGGUGCGGUAUCCAGGACUUUUACUUUGAGGAAAUUAGAGUGUUUCAAGCAGGCAUACGCCUUGAAUACAUUAGCAUGGAAUAAUAAGAUAGGACCUCGGUUCUAUUUUGUUGGUUUCUAGAGCUGAGGUAAUGAUUAAUAGGGAUAGUUGGGGGCAUUCGUAUUUAACUGUCAGAGGUGAAAUUCUUGGAUUUGUUAAAGACGAACUACUGCGAAAGCAUUUGCCAAGGAUGUUUUCGUUGA
RNAcentral lists this ribosomal RNA (380 nucleotides) under uncultured eukaryote. RNAcentral describes it as "partial 18S ribosomal RNA". It matches the Rfam family "Eukaryotic small subunit ribosomal RNA", at positions 592 to 976 of the family's 1831-position model. The record is from RNAcentral.